Long non-coding RNA from Centruroides sculpturatus (bark scorpion), 232 nucleotides. RefSeq lists it as uncharacterized. NCBI's taxonomy places the organism in Eukaryota, Metazoa, Arthropoda, Arachnida, Scorpiones, Buthidae. The transcript is spliced from 3 exons. The record is from RefSeq and is a predicted model, not a curated record.
AGAAAAGAGCGCCUCUAUCGGUAAGAAAAGAUUUGGCGAACGAUCAAUAGGAGAAUUGGGUAUCGCCAUUUAGCAACCCGCGAGAUUAUUUCAACUAAAGAUAUUUCUUUGUAUUUGAAAACGUGAAAGAUUCAUAAUGGUUAGAAAAAUUACAAAAAUUUAUAUUGGAAAUUUGCCAGAAUCAUGUCAGAAUAAAGACAUGCAGCAACUGUUUGAAAAGUAUGGAAAAGUC